AUCGCUUCUUGGCCUUCUGGCUAAGAUCAAGUGUAG
Molecule: small nuclear RNA, 36 nt
Filed under: Cervus elaphus hippelaphus
Lineage: Eukaryota; Metazoa; Chordata; Mammalia; Artiodactyla; Cervidae
Source: RNAcentral